Molecule: ribosomal RNA, 570 nt
Filed under: uncultured fungus
Lineage: Eukaryota; Fungi
Description: eukaryotic LSU rRNA
Rfam family: 5.8S ribosomal RNA (bases 208-361)
Source: RNAcentral
CGUAACAAGGUCUCCGUAGGUGAACCUGCGGAGGGAUCAUUGCACAAAUAUGAAGGCGGGCUGGAACCUCUCGGGGUUACAGCCUUGCUGAAUUAUUCACCCUUGUCUUUUGCGUACUUCUUGUUUCCUUGGUGGGUUCGCCCACCACUAGGACAAACAUAAACCUUUUGUAAUUGCAAUCAGCGUCAGUAACAAAUUAAUAAUUACAACUUUCAACAACGGAUCUCUUGGUUCUGGCAUCGAUGAAGAACGCAGCGAAAUGCGAUAAGUAGUGUGAAUUGCAGAAUUCAGUGAAUCAUCGAAUCUUUGAACGCACAUUGCGCCCUUUGGUAUUCCAAAGGGCAUGCCUGUUCGAGCGUCAUUUGUACCCUCAAGCUUUGCUUGGUGUUGGGCGUCUUGUCUCUAGCUUUGCUGGAGACUCGCCUUAAAGUAAUUGGCAGCCGGCCUACUGGUUUCGGAGCGCAGCACAAGUCGCACUCUCUAUCAGCAAAGGUCUAGCAUCCAUUAAGCCUUUUUUUCAACUUUUGACCUCGGAUCAGGUAGGGAUACCCGCUGAACUUAAGCAUAUCA